AUACGUAGGGUGCGAGCGUUAAUCGGAAUUACUGGGCGUAAAGCGUGCGCAGGCGGUUUUGUAAGACAGUGGUGAAAUUCCCGGGCUCAACCUGGGAAAUGCCAUUGUGAAUGCAAGGCUGGAGUGGGGCAGCGGGGGAUGGAAUUCCGCGUGUCGCAGUGAACUGCGUAGAUAUGCGGAGGAACACCGAUGGCGAAGGCAAUCCCCUGGGCCUGCACUGACGCUCAUGCACGAAAGCGUGGGGAGCAAACAGGAUUAGAUACCCUGGUAGUCCACGCCCUAAACGAUGUCAACUGGUUGUUGGGAAUUUAUUUUCUCAGUAACGAAGCUAACGCGUGAAGUUGACCGCCUGGGGAGUACGGCCGCAAGGUUAAAACUCAAAGGAAUUGACGGGG
This 395-nucleotide ribosomal RNA is filed under the name uncultured bacterium. Its description in RNAcentral is "partial 16S ribosomal RNA". It matches the Rfam family "Bacterial small subunit ribosomal RNA", at positions 523 to 918 of the family's 1533-position model. The record is from RNAcentral.